GGUCUAUGUGCAAAUGCAUAUUUUUGUCCGUUGACAUCGCAGACUGGGUUUUGAUAUGGAUUGUACAACAUCCAUUACUCAUCUAAACUACAAUUCAUCAUGUCGAAUCUCUUGCACCUUGCUUUGCUUGACGGCCAAACCUUUUCCAGCCUUGGCCACGGCCUGUUCCCAGUUGUCUACAGCAAACGUCGACCAACUUUUCUGGUAACUUGCGACAAGGAGCACUCUCGUUGAAUUGGUGUGCGAAAAAGACAUCCGUUUCAUUGGUCAAGACAUUCCCAAGCCUAUGCAGGUACGAAACGCAGGAGAAUAACUCUUUUCCCAAACCACUGAAGAAGGAAUGUAAAUUUGGUUUCUGCCCUCUACAACCGACGUCAGUUUCGUCGACAUGCUCCACGGUGACAAAACGGUAUACUUUCGGCAAUGGUACGGAUACUUGUACCAUAGAUGACCUCCUUGAAACCAGCCCAUCGAAUGGCGGAUGCGCACAUUGGACAGCUAUCAAUUACAUUAGCUGCGACCUUCGCGUUGCAAGACAGGACUUUGGCUCACGGCUCUCCAUUGGUAUAGAGGCUGAAAUCUUUCCAACCUGCCAAGAUUUCUUGAGACGUCCAGCCUUUAGCCGUCAACACUUCAGUACAGUGUGUAAUCGCAGAGAUUUCUCCAUGCAUUGCUGGGUCUGUAAAAUCAGGUAGAAUGAUCAGCCACUGCACACAGAACAUUUUGACUUGGAUACAUCCCAGAAGAUCCUGAGGAAGAAAAAAAAAGAAACUUACUUCCCGUCACCCCGACCUUGUUCGAAAUGACGCACACCAAUUCGUCCGAUGUGGUAUUGACGAUAGCAGUGCCAAACGGUGCUUGCGGACAUGGAUGUCCAUCCGCGUAAACAGCUUCGUUGGCAACUCUCAUCCAGUGCAAUCGGC
Molecule: small RNA, 923 nt
Filed under: Cryptococcus neoformans H99
Lineage: Eukaryota; Fungi; Basidiomycota; Tremellomycetes; Tremellales; Cryptococcaceae
Description: Cryptococcus neoformans var. grubii H99 hypothetical RNA
Source: RNAcentral